GACGAACGCUGGCGGCGUGCUUAACACAUGCAAGUCGAACGGAAAGGCCCUGCUUUUGUGGGGUGCUCGAGUGGCGAACGGGUGAGUAACACGUGAGUAACCUGCCCUUGACUUUGGGAUAACUUCAGGAAACUGGGGCUAAUACCGGAUAGGAGCUCCUGCUGCAUGGUGGGGGUUGGAAAGUUUCGGCGGUUGGGGAUGGACGCGCGGCUUAUCAGCUUGUUGGUUGGGUAGUGGCUUACCAAGGCUUUGACGGGUAGCCGGCCUGAGAGGGUGACCGGCCACAUUGGGCCUGCGAUACGGCCCAGACUCCUACGGGAGGCAGCAGUGGGGAAUAUUGCACAAUGGGCGGAAGCCUGAUGCAGCAACGCCGCGUGCGGGAUGACGGCCUUCGGGUUGUAAACCGCUUUCGCCUGUGACGAAGCGUGAGUGACGGUAAUGGGUAAAGAAGCACCGGCUAACUACGUG
RNAcentral lists this ribosomal RNA (468 nucleotides) under uncultured bacterium. RNAcentral describes it as "partial 16S ribosomal RNA". It matches the Rfam family "Bacterial small subunit ribosomal RNA", at positions 28 to 507 of the family's 1533-position model. The record is from RNAcentral.